Molecule: RNase P RNA, 385 nt
Filed under: Acidobacteriota bacterium
Lineage: Bacteria; Pseudomonadati; Acidobacteriota
Also listed under: 1 other name
Description: Acidobacteria bacterium (activated sludge metagenome) RNase P RNA component class A
Rfam family: Bacterial RNase P class A
About the family: Ribonuclease P (RNase P) is a ubiquitous endoribonuclease, found in archaea, bacteria and eukarya as well as chloroplasts and mitochondria. Its best characterised activity is the generation of mature 5'-ends of tRNAs by cleaving the 5'-leader elements of precursor-tRNAs. Cellular RNase Ps are ribonucleoproteins.
Source: RNAcentral
GAAGCGCGUCGGGUGAUCGCUUCCGUAAAUGGAAGAGGAAAGUCCGAACACCGUAGGGCAGCGAGCCGGAUAACGUCCGGGAGUGCGUGCAAACGUACGACGACAAGUGCAACAGAGAGUAAACCGCCUUCCGCGAAUGCGGACGGUAAGGGUGAAAGGGUGAGGUAAGAGCUCACCGGUGUGGCUGGUAACAGUCACGGCCAGGUAAACUCCUCGUGGUGCAAGGCCAAAUAGGAGAACGCGAUGAACGGCCCGUUCAGUGUCGAAGAAAUUCGACGGCGUUUUCGGGUAGGCCGCUCGAGCUGUUUGGUAACGAACAGCCUAGAUGAAUGAUCGCCACUCGCGAAAGCGAGUACAAGAUUCGGCUUAUAGACGCGCUUCAUUU